AGAGUUUGAUCCUGGCUCAGAUUGAACGCUGGCGGCGUGCUUAACACAUGCAAGUCGAGCGGUAACAGGUGUAGCAAUACAUGCUGACGAGCGGCGAACGGGUGAGUAAUGCUUCGGAAUCUUCCUCGUAGUGGGGAAUAACCUGGGGAAACUCAGGCUAAUACCGCAUACGAACUACGGUUGAAAGCAGGGGAUCGCAA
This 200-nucleotide ribosomal RNA is filed under the name uncultured bacterium. RNAcentral's name for it is "partial 16S ribosomal RNA". It matches the Rfam family "Bacterial small subunit ribosomal RNA", at positions 8 to 213 of the family's 1533-position model. The record is from RNAcentral.